Non-coding RNA from Myotis brandtii (Brandt's bat), 75 nucleotides. The record is from Rfam. Lineage: Eukaryota; Metazoa; Chordata; Mammalia; Chiroptera; Vespertilionidae.
GGCAGUUCUCGGGUGACACACCCCGGAAUCGGGCUCCCUCCUCUCUGGUUCCGGGUGUGUCACCCAAGAACCACA